UCCAUCAUUUCACUCUGGGCUGCUUUUCUUUACCAUGCAUAGGAGGGAGAGCAGGGAGAGCCAAUUAUCUGGCAAAUGUGUUUUGUUAUUACUAAUUGGAAGAAGAUGGCUGUGUUCCAAUAUCCUUUACUGGACGCGGAGUCAGUGGCAGAGGCUAAGGAUCAGGACUGAUUUAGCCACAGGCAUGCCAUGCGUAUCUGGCCCAGGAGAUGUGAGAGGACACCUCAUUGGGAGAAAGAUUCUGGGUCUGUUAAAUGAGACCCACAAGGAGAGACAUUGUCCUGCUUGCCUUUGAAGUCACCUUUUAUGACAGGGACUGCACCCAGCAAUACUGGAUGGGAGUUGCCGAGGUCCACUCUGGCUGCUCCAGGGGGUACCAGACCCACUUCUGGAAGUGCUUUGCACCACUCUGGCUAUACCUGGUGGUGGCUGGAGUCAUGCAGUCCCAAUUGUGGCACUCAGAGUCCUGAGUAUGCCAGACAUGUGCUCUACCACUUGAUCAAGCUCUGCA
Molecule: long non-coding RNA, 511 nt
Organism: Sorex fumeus (smoky shrew)
Lineage: Eukaryota; Metazoa; Chordata; Mammalia; Eulipotyphla; Soricidae
Exons: 3
Source: RefSeq, a predicted model, not a curated record